RNAcentral lists this ribosomal RNA (483 nucleotides) under uncultured bacterium. RNAcentral describes it as "partial 16S ribosomal RNA". It matches the Rfam family "Bacterial small subunit ribosomal RNA", at positions 28 to 523 of the family's 1533-position model. The record is from RNAcentral.
GACGAACGCUGGCGGCGUGCUUAACACAUGCAAGUCGAACGAUGAAGCCGGAGCUUGCUCCGGUGGAUUAGUGGCGAACGGGUGAGUAACACGUGAGCAAUCUGCCCUUGACUCUGGGAUAACUGCGGGAAACUGUAGCUAAUACCGGAUACGACACCUUGGGGCAUCCCAGGGUGUGGAAAGAAUUUCGGUCAAGGAUGAGCUCGCGGCCUAUCAGCUAGUUGGUGAGGUAAUGGCUCACCAAGGCGACGACGGGUAGCCGGCCUGAGAGGGUGGCCGGCCACACUGGAACUGAGACACGGUCCAGACUCCUACGGGAGGCAGCAGUGGGGAAUAGUGCACAAUGGGCGAAAGACUGAUGCAGCAACGCCGCGUGAGGGAUGAAGGCCUUCGGGUUGUAAACCUCUUUUAGCAGGGAAGAAGCGAAAGUGACGGUACCUGCAGAAAAAGCACCGGCUAACUACGUGCCAGCAGCCGCAGUAA